CUCGGGCAGGGAGCUCCCUCAGCCCGGAUUGCAAGAGGGCACAGGGCAGGCUGAGGGACCCCACCUGUGCAUG
This 73-nucleotide microRNA precursor is filed under the name Myotis lucifugus (little brown bat). Its description in RNAcentral is "mir-9193 microRNA precursor family". It matches the Rfam family "mir-9193 microRNA precursor family". The record is from Rfam by way of RNAcentral. Lineage: Eukaryota; Metazoa; Chordata; Mammalia; Chiroptera; Vespertilionidae.